Strongylocentrotus purpuratus (purple sea urchin) is the source of this 232-nucleotide long non-coding RNA. RefSeq lists it as uncharacterized. The record is from RefSeq and is a predicted model, not a curated record. NCBI's taxonomy places the organism in Eukaryota, Metazoa, Echinodermata, Echinoidea, Camarodonta, Strongylocentrotidae. The transcript is spliced from 3 exons.
CAUAUAAGUAUUGGUGUGUACUGCAUGGUUCUGGAAUCAGCAAAAUGAUAAGAAAUUUGGCCCAGUCUUGGUAAAAUUACAAGCACUGUACACAGAAAGAUGUAUAUGGGACUACACGAACAUGUGGCAUAAAACUCAGUCCCGAAUUUUAUAAUGUUACAUGCCAUAUUUAGAAUAUUAAGGCAUUUGAAGAGCCAUGCUUUUCAGGGAACAUUUUUUACCUGAUGUUCUU